UACGAAGGGGGCUAGCGUUGCUCGGAAUUACUGGGCGUAAAGGGCGCGUAGGCGGACAGUUUAGUCAGAGGUGAAAGCCCAGGGCUCAACCCUGGAAUUGCCUUUGAUACUGGCUGUCUUGAGUACGGGAGAGGUGUGUGGAACUCCGAGUGUAGAGGUGAAAUUCGUAGAUAUUCGGAAGAACACCAGUGGCGAGGGCGACACACUGGCCCGUUACUGACGCUGAGGCGCGAAAGCGUGGGGAGCAAACAGG
This 253-nucleotide ribosomal RNA is filed under the name uncultured bacterium. Its description in RNAcentral is "partial 16S ribosomal RNA". It matches the Rfam family "Bacterial small subunit ribosomal RNA", at positions 524 to 776 of the family's 1533-position model. The record is from RNAcentral.